Molecule: long non-coding RNA, 918 nt
Organism: Patella vulgata (common limpet)
Lineage: Eukaryota; Metazoa; Mollusca; Gastropoda; Patellidae
Exons: 2
Source: RefSeq, a predicted model, not a curated record
UAGAUAUUGAACACCUUACACUGCAAUAAUCGCCUGUUGCACAUAACGUCACUUUAGUGUUUUAGGUAUAAAAGUAUCACAAAGGGAAUAGAAGAUAUUGACAAAAACUGGAGGGAUUAAGAUGGCGAAAAUACCUAUUGCGAUUUUAAUGAUUAUGCUGAUGUUAAGCAUCAUUUCUCACGACAUAGUCUAUGGGACUGCCGUUAACAGACGUGGUGGCUAUGGUGCUUGGAAGAAACGGGAUAUGGUAGAGAACAUUGAUGACUUGGCAGAAGUCGAACGAUUUGUACCUGAACGAAAGACUGCUGAUUCUUAGCGUUAAAAGAUACUAAGACUUAGCUCAAGAGUACAACAAUUGAAAAAAAACCACACCAACUUUUUCGUUAGUUUAGCGAAAUUGUUUCAGAAAGAUGUUUUAUUCGAGGUUUCAGAACAUUUCCGCCGUAUACGUAGAUAUUUUCCUACGAACCAGUAAAUCUGAUUUCAUUCACUCACCUGUGCUUUAUUCAAAGUACGGCAAGGUCUUCAUUGCGUUCGCAACGGACUUUUCAACAUACUAUAAUUAUGGACACAGCUCAUCAAAUAUUCCUACGCCGUCACCCACGAAUGUAGGGCGAAAGUUAUUUUUAGUCUUUCUCUCCCUUUCCCGUAAAGGGACAAUAACACUCUUGCUUAAAGGGACAAUAACACUCUUGCUGGCUUGAAAGCUCCAGAAAAUAUAUAAUAUCUCUAUCUAAGUACUAGAUGUUUAAGUGUCCUACCUGUUGUGUAAAUUAUCCAUUACAUCCAAUUUUACUUGUCCAGAGGGUUCGAAAAUAUUUUUAAAUCGAAGUUUCAUUUGAAAAGGUUUACGUUAGACGUUUCAAACCAUUAUGUUGAAUUUUUCAAAAUUUUUAAAUAAGGUGUGUUAAGAUGAAA